RNAcentral lists this ribosomal RNA (253 nucleotides) under uncultured bacterium. RNAcentral's name for it is "partial 16S ribosomal RNA". It matches the Rfam family "Bacterial small subunit ribosomal RNA", at positions 524 to 776 of the family's 1533-position model. The record is from RNAcentral.
UACGUAGGGCGCAAGCGUUGUCCGGAAUCAUUGGGCGUAAAGAGCUCGUAGGUGGUCUGUUACGUCUGCUGUGAAAUCCUAGGGCUUAACCCUGGGCCUGCAGUGGAUACGGGCAGACUAGAGGUAGGUAGGGGAGAACGGAAUUCCUGGUGUAGCGGUGAAAUGCGCAGAUAUCAGGAGGAACACCGGUGGCGAAGGCGGUUCUCUGGGCAUGUCCUGACGCUGAGGAGCGAAAGUGUGGGGAGCGAACAGG